GUGCUCACUUUGGCAGCAUGUAUACUAAAAUUGGAACAAUACAAAGAAGUUUAGCAUUGCCCCUGUGCAAGGAUGACACACAAACUUGUGAAGUGUUCUAUAUUUUU
Choloepus hoffmanni (Hoffmann's two-fingered sloth) is the source of this 107-nucleotide small nuclear RNA. Lineage: Eukaryota; Metazoa; Chordata; Mammalia; Pilosa; Megalonychidae. The record is from Ensembl.